This 427-nucleotide ribosomal RNA is filed under the name uncultured bacterium. Its description in RNAcentral is "bacterial SSU rRNA". It matches the Rfam family "Bacterial small subunit ribosomal RNA", at positions 355 to 774 of the family's 1533-position model. The record is from RNAcentral.
UGGGGAAUUUUGGACAAUGGGCGCAAGCCUGAUCCAGCAAUGCCGCGUGCAGGAUGAAGGCCUUCGGGUUGUAAACUGCUUUUGUACGGAGCGAAAAGGUCUGCCCUAAUACGGUGGGCUCAUGACGGUACCGUAAGAAUAAGCACCGGCUAACUACGUGCCAGCAGCCGCGGUAAUACGUAGGGUGCGAGCGUUAAUCGGAAUUACUGGGCGUAAAUCGUGCGCAGGCGGUUAUAUAAGACAGAUGUGAAAUCCCCGGGCUCAACCUGGGACCUGCAGUAGUGACUGUAUAGCUAGAGUACGGUAGAGGGGGAUGGAAUUCCGCGUGUAGCAGUGAAAUGCGUAGAUAUGCGGAGGAACACCGAUGGAGAAGGCAAUCCCCUGGACCUGUACUGACGCUCAUGCACGGAAGCGUGGGGAGCAAGCA